CUACGGGAGGCUGCAGUGGGGAAUAUUGCACAAUGGGGGAAACCCUGAUGCAGCAACGCCGCGUGGAGGAUGACACAUUUCGGUGCGUAAACUCCUUUUAUAUAGGAAGAUAAUGACGGUACUAUAUGAAUAAGCGCCGGCUAACUCCGUGCCAGCAGCCGCGGUAAUACGGAGGGCGCAAGCGUUACUCGGAAUCACUGGGCGUAAAGAGCGUGUAGGCGGGUAGUUAAGUCAGAAGUGAAAUCCUAUGGCUCAACCAUAGAACUGCUUUUGAAACUGAUUACCUAGAAUAUGGGAGAGGUAGAUGGAAUUUCUGGUGUAGGGGUAAAAUCCGUAGAGAUCAGAAGGAAUACCGAUUGCGAAGGCGAUCUACUGGAACAUUAUUGACGCUGAGACGCGAAAGCGUGGGGAGCAAACAGGAUUAGAUACCCCCGUAGUC
Molecule: ribosomal RNA, 439 nt
Filed under: uncultured bacterium
Lineage: Bacteria
Description: partial 16S ribosomal RNA
Rfam family: Bacterial small subunit ribosomal RNA
Source: RNAcentral